ACACUCCUGCGGGAGGCAGCAGUGGGGAAUUUUGGACAAUGGGCGAAAGCCUGAUCCAGCAAUGCCGCGUGUGUGAAGAAGGCCUUCGGGUUGUAAAGCACUUUUGUCCGGAAAGAAAUCCUUGGCUCUAAUACAGUCGGGGGAUGACGGUACCGGCAGAAUAAGCACCGGCUAACUACGUGCCAGCAGCCGCGGUAAUACGUAGGGUGCGAGCGUUAAUCGGAAUUACUGGGCGUAAAGCGUGCGCAGGCGGUUUGCUAAGACCGAUGUGAAAUCCCCGGGCUCAACCUGGGAACUGCAUUGGUGACUGGCAGGCUAGAGUAUGGCAGAGGGGGGUAGAAUUCCACGUGUAGCAGUGGAAUGCGUAGAGAUGUGGAGGAAUACCGAUGGCGAAGGCAGCCCCCUGGGCCAAUACUGACGCUCAUGCACGAAAGCGUGGGGAGCAAACAGGAUUAGAUACCCUGGUAGUCCCAUGAU
This 477-nucleotide ribosomal RNA is filed under the name uncultured organism. RNAcentral describes it as "partial 16S ribosomal RNA". It matches the Rfam family "Bacterial small subunit ribosomal RNA", at positions 333 to 801 of the family's 1533-position model. The record is from RNAcentral.